UGUUUAAAAUGCCGCCUUCCACUGAGGAUUUUACCAGAUUUUAAUCGACAUAAAACAUAACAUUUCAUCUUCAAUCUGUUGGUGACAAGAAAAGGUGUUUGACAUGAACACAGCAAACUGGCAAAGACACAAACAUUUAACAGGUCAACACAGAGCCGGGCAAUAGUGUUCAGAACAUUACAGAAAUAUAUCGUGACCUGCAUUUGGUUUGGGGGAGUCAACAUUUACAAUAAUAUUGUGUUGGUGUGUCCUGCCCGCACAGCAGGUUGUUGCAGUGGGCAGCCCACUGACUGGAGCACAGUGACUACCUCGACUACUGGGGACAAGGCACCAUGAUGACGGUGACUAAUGCUGUAACUACUCCUCCCAGUCUUUACGCCCUGCUGCCAUACUGUGGACAAUCCUCUUCUGGAGGCUCAGUGACUGUUGGGUGUCUGGCCUCCAGCUACAGCCCCGAUCCCGCCAUCUUCACCUGGAGAUCAAAUACAAAUCCCAUCACUGACCAAGUCGAGACUUAUCCCUCAGUGCUCAACAAGAACGGUCUCUACACUCUGAGCAGCCAGUUAACAAUCGCUGAAUCCCAGCUGGGCAGCAUCUAUUGUAAGGUUGCACAUAAAAGCAAUACCUGGUCAGCCGUGGAAAUCCUCGUGCCAGAUCUCCCGUCACCGUUGCCCCCAGUUGUUAUCCUCACACAGUUUUCCCCGGAGGACAUCGCAAUGCACAAACCGACCACUGCUAUCUGCUUCAUAUACGGUUUCCGUCCGGACAGUCUCAGUGUUGAGUGGCUGAAGGACUGGCAGCCCAUACACUCAGGUGUUGUGACCUCUCCCUCGGUUGAAAACAAUGGGACAUUCAGCACCAGCAGCCGUCUGACUGUCACCGCCAGAGAGGGGAAGAGCGACUCGGUUUACACCUGCAAGGUGACCCAUCAGCCCUCCCACACCAUCACUGUCAAGAACAUCACCAAGUGCCCAGAUUGUCCGCCUGUUGAACCUGUCAAGGUCUCUUUCCUGCCGCCUUCACCGAAACAGGUUUUGAUGGAACCCAUUGUAACGCUGACAUGUGUCGUGGCGAAUGCACCACAUGACGUCAACGUGACUUGGACACAAGAACAGACACAUUUACAGUCUGGAUAUGGAAAACCAUCUGCCACUGGGCCUCAGGAAGUGAUCAGUAAACUAAACAUUUCUACACAAGACUGGACCGGUGGAAAAGUAUACUUCUGCAUUGUCAGCCAUGACGAUAUACCGACUCCCAUCAGAAAAAAGAUAUUUAAGGAGCCCGUUUUGUACACGAAACAACCUUCAGUGUAUCUGCUUCUCCCAUCGGCAGAAGAAUUGUCUGCUCAGCAGUCUCUCACCCUCAGUUGCCUGGUGAAGAACUUCGCUCCCAAAGAGAUCUUUGUGGAGUGGACUGUGAAUGACCAAUCGAUUGAUGCCGACAAAUACAAGAACACUGAGGUGAUGGCAGACAGUGCAGAUGGCGAUUACUCCAUGUACAGCAUGUUAUCCAUCUCAGCCGGAGAUUGGGACAGAGGCUAUUCCUACUCCUGUGUGGUCGGACAUGAAACUUUCCCACUGAAGACCCUGACCAGAGCCGUUAAUAAAUCCAGCGAGGUGAUCCCAACCGAGACGAUGCUGGAAGGUUUUCAACAAGAUGAACAUGACAACCUCUGGCCGACAGCUUCCACCUUCAUCAUCCUCUUCUUCCUGAGUAUUUUCUACAGUGCCACGGUCACUCUAUUUAAGGUAAAAUGAGUUUAUUACCAUCAGCUUCACCGAUGUUCCUCAUCUGUUUGUGUUUAUCUUCAAUUUCCUGUGACAGAGUAUGUGAUGUCUUGUUUCACCCAAUGAACCAUUCAUGGGAAGUCAACAUUGUAUUGUGCAACUACAUGAAUUUUAGUGACUUUUCUUAUUGUUAGUCUAUGUUACAAUGUGCCUUUUGUUAAUAAUACAUAAUGUUGUUAUUUCAUGUACUGAGCGCCUCUCUGAUAUUCUUUAUUUGCUGUUUACUGAUUGUGUGGUGUAAUGAUACAGAAAGACAGAGGCUGUUAUAUUUUGUCCUUUUAUUUCAUUCUGAAGAUGUGUAUUUGUGAUCCGGUCCUAUUCCAUAAUGCCUACAGAUUCUCUCUAUUUGUUUGCCCGAAGUAUCAAUAAAUGAUAAAAGUUA
Molecule: non-coding RNA, 2169 nt
Organism: Callorhinchus milii (elephant shark)
Lineage: Eukaryota; Metazoa; Chordata; Chondrichthyes; Chimaeriformes; Callorhinchidae
Source: the annotation of a RefSeq genome assembly